This 492-nucleotide ribosomal RNA is filed under the name uncultured bacterium. Its description in RNAcentral is "partial 16S ribosomal RNA". It matches the Rfam family "Bacterial small subunit ribosomal RNA", at positions 29 to 507 of the family's 1533-position model. The record is from RNAcentral.
AGUGAACGCUGGCGGCAGGCCUAACACAUGCAAGUCGAACGGAAGCACAGUAAGAGCUUGCUCUUACGGGUGGCGCGCGGCGGACGGGUGAGGAAUACAUCGGAAUCUACUUUUUCGUGGGGGAUAACGUAGGGAAACUUAUGCUAAUACCGCAUACGACCCACGGGUGAAAGCAGGGGAUCUUCGGACCUUGCGCGAGUGGAUGAUCCGAGGUCGGAUUAGCUAGUUGGCGGGGUAAAGGCCCACCAGGGCGACGAUCCGUAGCUGGGCUGAGAGGAUGAUCAGCCACACUGGAACUGAGACACGGUCCAGACUCCUACGGGAGGAAGCGGUGGGGAAUAUUGGACAAUGGGCGAAAGGGUGAUACAGCCAUACCGCGUGGGUGAAGAAGGCCUUCGGGUUGUAAAGCCCUUUUGUUGGGAAGGAAGAGAAGCAGGUUAAUACCCCGCUGUUCUGACGGUACCCAAAGAAUAAGCACCGGCUAACUUCGUG